RNAcentral lists this ribosomal RNA (292 nucleotides) under uncultured Solirubrobacterales bacterium. RNAcentral's name for it is "partial 16S ribosomal RNA". It matches the Rfam family "Bacterial small subunit ribosomal RNA", at positions 505 to 796 of the family's 1533-position model. The record is from RNAcentral. Lineage: Bacteria; Bacillati; Actinomycetota; Thermoleophilia; Solirubrobacterales.
GUGUCAGCAGCCGCGGUAAUACGUAGGGGGCAAGCGUUGUCCGGAAUCAUUGGGCGUAAAGAGCACGUAGGCGGCUUGGUAAGUCUGCUGUGAAAGUCCAGGGCUCAACCCUGGAAAGCCGGUGGAAACUGUCAAGCUAGAGUCCGGAAGAGGCGAGUGGAAUUCCUGGUGUAGCGGUGAAAUGCGCAGAUAUCAGGAGGAACACCAAUGGCGAAGGCAGCUCGCUGGGACGGUACUGACGCUGAGACGCGAAAGCGUGGGGAGCAAACAGGAUUAGAUACCCCCGUAGUCC